This 1380-nucleotide ribosomal RNA is filed under the name Peribacillus simplex. RNAcentral describes it as "Bacillus simplex 16S ribosomal RNA". It matches the Rfam family "Bacterial small subunit ribosomal RNA", at positions 72 to 1434 of the family's 1533-position model. The record is from RNAcentral. Lineage: Bacteria; Bacillati; Bacillota; Bacilli; Caryophanales; Bacillaceae.
AUGGGAGCCCGCUCCCUGAGAUUAGGGGCGGAGGGGUGAGUACACGUGGGGACCUGGCUAUUAGCUGGGGAAACUUCGGGAAACGGAGCUAUACCGGAUACUUCUUUUCUCGCAUGAGAGAGAUGGAAAGACGGGUUACGCUGUCACUUAUAGAUGGGCCCGCGGCGCAUUAGCUUGGUUGGGGAGGGAAUGGCUCACCAAGGCGACGAUGCGUAGCCCACCUGGGGAGGGGUGAUCGGCCACACUGGGACUGAAACACGGCCCAAACUCCUACGGGAGGCAGCAGUAGGGAAUCUUCCGCAAUGGACGAAAGUCUGACGGAACAACCCCGCGUGAACAAAGAAGGCCUUCCGGGUCGUAAAGUUCUGUUGUUAGGGAAAAAACAAGUACCAGAGUAACUGCUGGUACCUUGACGGUACCUAACCAGAAAGCCACGGCUAACUACGUGCCAGCAGCCGCGGUAAUACGUAGGUGGCAAGCGUUGUCCGGAAUUAUUGGGCGUAAAGCGCGCGCAGGUGGUUCUUUAAGUCUGAUGUGAAAGCCCACGGCUCAACCCGUGGAGGGUCAUUGGAAACUGGGGAACUUGAGUGCAGAAGAGGAAAGUGGAAUUCCAAGUGUAGCGGUGAAAUGCGUAGAGAUUUGGAGGAACACCAGUGGCGAAGGCGACUUUCUGGUCUGUAACUGACACUGAGGCGCGAAAGCGUGGGGAAGCAAACAGGAUUAGAUACCCUGGGUAGUCCACGCCGUAAACCGAUGAGUGCUAAGUGUUAGAGGGUUUCCGCCCUUUAGUGCUGCAGCUAACGCAUUAAGCACUCCGCCUGGGGAGUACGGCCGCAAGGCUGAAACUCAAAGGAAUUGACGGGGGCCCGCACAAGCGGUGGAGCAUGUGGUUUAAUUCGAAGCAACGCGAAGAACCUUACCAGGUCUUGACAUCCUCUGACAACCCUAGAGAUAGGGCGUUCCCCUUCGGGGGACAGAGUGACAGGUGGUGCAUGGUUGUCGUCAGCUCGUGUCGUGAGAUGUUGGGUUAAGUCCCGCAACGAGCGCAACCCUUGAUCUUAGUUGCCAGCAUUCAGUUGGGCACUCUAAGGUGACUGCCGGUGACAAACCGGAGGAAGGUGGGGAUGACGUCAAAUCAUCAUGCCCCUUAUGACCUGGGCUACACACGUGCUACAAUGGAUGGUACAAAGGGCUGCAAACCUGCGAAGGUAAGCGAAUCCCAUAAAGCCAUUCUCAGUUCGGAUUGUAGGCUGCAACUCGCCUACAUGAAGCCGGAAUCGCUAGUAAUCGCGGAUCAGCAUGCCGCGGUGAAUACGUUCCCGGCGCCUUGUACACACCGCCCGUCACACCACGAGAGUUGUCACACGCGAAGUCGGUGAG